UUGAACGCUGGCGGCAUGCCUUACACAUGCAAGUCGAACGGUAGAGUAGCAAUACUUGAGAGUGGCGAACGGGUGAGUAAUAUAUCGGAACGUGCCCAGUCGUGGGGGAUAACGUAGCGAAAGCUACGCUAAUACCGCAUACGAUCUAUGGAUGAAAGCGGGGGAUCGCAAGACCUCGCGCGAUUGGAGCGGCCGAUAUCAGAUUAGGUAGUUGGUGAGGUAAAGGCUCACCAAGCCGACGAUCUGUAGCUGGUCUGAGAGGACGACCAGCCACACUGGGACUGAGACACGGCCCAGACUCCUACGGGAGGCAGCAGUGGGGAAUUUGGACAAUGGGCGCAAGCCUGAUCCAGCAAUGCCGCGUGCAGGAUGAAGGCCUUCGGGUUGUAAACUGCUUUGUACGGAACGAAACGGUGAGCUCUAAUACAGUUUGCUAAUGACGGUACCGUAAGAAUAAGCACCGGCUAACUACGUG
Molecule: ribosomal RNA, 475 nt
Filed under: uncultured bacterium
Lineage: Bacteria
Description: bacterial SSU rRNA
Rfam family: Bacterial small subunit ribosomal RNA
Source: RNAcentral